UGAACGCUGGCGGCGUGCCUCAUACAUGCACGUCGAGCGAACGGACGAGAAGCUUGCUUUUCUGAUGUUAGCGGCGGACGGGUGAGUAACACGUGGAUAACCUACCUAUAAGACUGGGAUAACUUCGGGAAACCGGAGCUAAUACCGGAUAAUAUUUUGAACCGCAUGGUUCAAAAGUGAAAGACGGUCUUGCUGUCACUUAUAGAUGGAUCCGCGCUGCAUUAGCUAGUUGGUAAGGUAACGGCUUACCAAGGCAACGAUGCAUAGCCGACCUGAGAGGGUGAUCGGCCACACUGGAACUGAGACACGGUCCAGACUCCUACGGGAGGCAGCAGUAGGGAAUCUUCCGCAAUGGGCGAAAGCCUGACGGAGCAACGCCGCGUGAGUGAUGAAGGUCUUCGGAUCGUAAAACUCUGUUAUUAGGGAAGAACAUAUGUGUAAGUAACUGUGCACAUCUUGGCGGUACCUAAUCAGAAAGCCACGGCUAACUACGUG
Molecule: ribosomal RNA, 495 nt
Filed under: uncultured bacterium
Lineage: Bacteria
Description: partial 16S ribosomal RNA
Rfam family: Bacterial small subunit ribosomal RNA
Source: RNAcentral